AGCAGAUAAAACAAGGCUUACUUUAGUGAUGUGUAUUCUAUUCACGCCCUGAUUGUGCAUGGGGCACAUAGGGUGGACGCUGAGGUAAUGGGCUGGAAUCUUUGGUAGGCGUGAAACAACUGAUCUUUGAAUCAUUCCUCUCCACAGUGCUCCUGUGCCGGGGCAAAGCUUUCAGCGAUUUCACCGGACCAGACUGUCGGUUUCUGUCAUUUAAAAAAGGAGAGACUAUAUAUGUCUACUAUAAACUCUCAGGCCAAAGGACAAAUAUAUGUGCAGGGAGUGACCAACUCGUAAUCAAUCACAUAUACACUGAAAAAGAAUUGGAGAUUCCUGCUGAGGAAACCGACAUUGUUUGCUUUGACACUGGACACGAUAAGUUUGACAGUUAUGCCAUUGAUUCACUGUUAGGUUCCUCUUUAUU
Long non-coding RNA from Salvelinus namaycush (lake trout), 421 nucleotides. RefSeq lists it as uncharacterized. Lineage: Eukaryota; Metazoa; Chordata; Actinopteri; Salmoniformes; Salmonidae. The transcript is spliced from 3 exons. The record is from RefSeq and is a predicted model, not a curated record.